GACGAACGCUGGCGGCGUGCUUAACACAUGCAAGUCGAACGAAGAGCGAUGGACGCUUGCUUCUAUCAAUCUUAGUGGCGACCGGGUGAGUAACGCGUAAUCAACCUGCCCUUCAGAGGGGGACAACAGUUGGAAACGACUGCUAAUACCGCAUACGAUCUAAUCUCGGCAUCGAGGAUAGAUGAAAGGUGGCCUCUACAUGUAAGCUAUCACUGAAGGAGGGGAUUGCGUCUGAUUAGCUAGUUGGAGGGGUAACGGCCCACCAAGGCGAUGAUCAGUAGCCGGUCUGAGAGGAUGAACGGCCACAUUGGGACUGAGACACGGCCCAGACUCCUACGGGAGGCAGCAGUGGGGAAUCUUCCGCAAUGGACGAAAGUCUGACGGAGCAACGCCGCGUGAGUGAUGACGGCCUUCGGGUUGUAAAGCUCUGUUAAUCGGGACGAAAGGCCUUCUUGCGAACAGUUAGAAGGAUUGACGGUACCGGAAUAGAAAGCCACGGCUAACUACGUG
This 510-nucleotide ribosomal RNA is filed under the name uncultured bacterium. RNAcentral's name for it is "partial 16S ribosomal RNA". It matches the Rfam family "Bacterial small subunit ribosomal RNA", at positions 28 to 507 of the family's 1533-position model. The record is from RNAcentral.